AUGGAGUCUAGACUCAAGGAUGUGGAGAUGGAAAAUAUCAUAUUGAAGUAUAGUUUCAGUCAGUGUUUAGGCAUUAGCUCUAUUUAUGGUUUCCCGGAUAAAAGGAGAAAGAAGAAUGUGUGGGAUCUCAUCAGAAGCUUACAACCAGUGGAAGAGGGUGGGGAAACCCAGCUUUCAUCAAUAGGUUUUCGCCAGUCCAAAUCCGCCGUCUCCCCAAGCGUACCUCGAAUCAUGCAGUCUUGGCUAUUGAGUUGGAGGUUGUGA
Molecule: non-coding RNA, 264 nt
Organism: Vicia faba (fava bean)
Lineage: Eukaryota; Viridiplantae; Streptophyta; Magnoliopsida; Fabales; Fabaceae
Source: the annotation of a GenBank genome assembly